This is a long non-coding RNA of Oncorhynchus nerka (sockeye salmon), 659 nucleotides long. RefSeq lists it as uncharacterized. Lineage: Eukaryota; Metazoa; Chordata; Actinopteri; Salmoniformes; Salmonidae. The record is from RefSeq and is a predicted model, not a curated record. The transcript is spliced from 3 exons.
UCUUGGGCUUCGGGAGUGUUUCCCAUUUAAACAAACACAGCGCUGAAGAUGGCGGAGAGUUAAUAGCGAAACGAAGAAGAUAUCGGUGCGCUCACAGAGAUACAUCGUUUUGGAAAUGAACAGAAACCCCUCUUCAAUCACAGAGGGAAACAAGGUGAUCAACUACCCACAUCGGGACCACACGUCAAUACAAAAUAAUGAAUGUGCUUCUCAUUAUAAAUCGUGUGUGAUCUCUGAUCAUUUAUGUUAAUAUAGGCAAGGCUUUAGAUAGGAAAAUUGUUGCAAAGAGGAAAUGCGCUCAAGCAGUAGAACAUUUUGAGAUAAUACUUUAAAGUACUACCUAAGUUGUUUUUUGGGGGUCAUUUUUACUUGAUUUAUAUUUGGACUACUUUCACUUUUACUCCACUACAUUCCUAAAGAAAAUAAUGUACUUUUUACUUCAUACAUUUUCCCUGACACCCAAAAGUAUUUCCAAAUGCUUAGCAGGACAGGAAAAUUGUCCAAUUCACACACUUAUCAAGAGAACAUCCCUGGUCAUCUCUGCUGCCUCCGAUCUGGCAGGCUCCCUAAACAUAAAUGCUUAGUUUUUAAAUUAUGUCUGAGUGUUAGAGUGUGCCCCUGGCUAUCCGUAAAAAUAAAUAAAAGUAAAAUGGAAGUCG